Molecule: non-coding RNA, 8035 nt
Organism: Cricetulus griseus (Chinese hamster)
Lineage: Eukaryota; Metazoa; Chordata; Mammalia; Rodentia; Cricetidae
Source: RefSeq, a predicted model, not a curated record
ACUUCCUUCCUGGCUACUGGCCAAUCAGCAUUUUAUUAAACCAGUAGAAGCCACAAAUAUUUACAAUGAACAAGAGCAUUAUCUCACAUCAUUUCCCCCCUUUUUUCUCUUUUCAAAAACGAACACAGACUCUAAUCUCCAUUGUUUAUAUUUUCUUGACCAUUAUCCUUAACAACUUGUAGCCAACAUGUUAAACAACAAUAGCAAAAAAAAAAUUACAUUGUUUUGGGGAAUAUAGGCAUGGUUUUCUAGGCUGCUACCUGCUGAUUGGGGUGCUUUUAAUCUUAUGGGGACCCAAAGAAAAUUUAGGAUUAUAAUCAAGCCCUGACUGGAGUAUUCUGUGUGGUUACAUCAUCUCAACUAGCAGCCAUGAGCCUGUUCAGGUUGCAAAACUCAGAAGAAACUACAAAAACAGAAUUGGGAGAAAAUAAUUGUAAGUCUCAGACCCCUGACACCUACUAAGUGUAUGCAUUUGUAUCCUUUCUCUGGGCUUUCUAAUGUGACUUGCUUUAGGGAAUGGAAUUUUUAACUGUUGUGUCAAACCAGGGUUCAGUAGAUCUCAACCUGCCAUGAUAGGACCCUACAGAAAAAGUUGGUACAGGGAAAGGCUUACUCCACCAAGGCAGCAGGACCCUAAGCAUCACAGGAGCAGGAAUGAUGUUUCUCCAAACCAAUGAUACCAAGGCUAACUGGCUUCCAACACAUGGAAGCUGGGAUGUGGAGUGAUGGCUUUCCAAAUGUCUUUGUAAGUAUUGACUCCAAAUAUGCUUUCAUGUUGGAAUCUGACUCUUGAGGAAGAGAUACAGUGUUGUGAAAUCCCCUGUUUGGAGAGUGCAACCCUUCAUUGAAGAGAAGGAAUAUUCGGAGUCAGUGAGAUGGAUUAGCAUAUAAGGGCACUUGCUGAAGAGACUGAUAACAUGACUUUGAUUCCUAAAAUCCAGAACUAAGUUCAGCAAGUUGGCGUCUGAUAUCCUCAUGCACAGAGCCAUACUGGGAGUUACAGGUACUCAGGAAUACCUGAUGAGUCCUGACUCCUCAGCAAGGAUGCAUUGACCUGAUUGGAAAUUUGAAGUCUGGAAUAAUUGCCAUCAAACCUAAGUGCCCUCAGAUACUCUCUAGCUUUGGAACAGGGUAAAGCCACUGGUGAGAAAGGAAUGGCUAUUCAAAUUGCUAAAAGUAACCCACAUAAGGCAAUUAUUCUCUGAAAUGGCAACAUUCCAUUGACUCUAGUUUUAAUCCAUCAAUCAGUCUUACAGACAUGCCUUCUUUCCUGGAAUUUUUGUCCAUAUCAGUAUGAAUAUAAACUUAAUACAAAAAUAAGACUAUUUGAUGUUGAAAAAAACUUGAUUAUGAAAUUCAAAAUAUAAUCACAGAUAUUAAGUAAUUUGAGACUUUAACAUACAAGAUAAAGAAAAUAUUUCUGAUCACUUGAAUCUGACCACUUGAUAACGAUUUGUAUAAAUUGGUAAUGUUUCACUCACCCUAUUAUUUUUGUGUCUAUUUAAGCCUGUAUGUGUAUAUGAAUGUGUGUGUGUAUGUGUGGGAGAGAGAAAGGGGGGAGCGAGAGAGGCAAAACAUUAAACAAACCAACUCACUUGUUGAGGAAUGCCUUUAUUUCAGAUUAUAGUUUUUAAGACAAACCCAGGCACAUGCACGAGUCAGGCACCUGAUAUCAGAAACUACAGCAGAGACCAUGAAGACAUUCUGCUACCUGACUUGCUCCCAUACUCCAUAUUCAUAAUCUUUUCUUGUACAGACAAAGACUACCUAGUCAGGGAUGGUGCUGCCCACAGUCAGCUGGGUCCUCCACAUCAAUUGUAAAUCAAGAAAAUGCUUCAUAGUUCCUCAAUUGAGUUUUCUCCUUCCCAAGGGACUUUUGUUUGAGUCUGGCUGACAAAAAUCUAAGGAGUCAAUGCUAUGUGUAUAUGUAUAUAAACAUGAUUCUGUGCAUGUAAGUGUAUUUAUAUGGUAUGAGUGUAGUGUAUAUAUGUGUAUUGUGAGUGACUGUCCUUUUAGCCAAACAGAAAGCAUCUGGGGAAGUUCAGGUGCACCCUAUUGCUAAGUAUCUCUCUCUCUCUCUCUCUCUCUCUCUCUCUCUCUCUCUCUCUCUCUCACACACACACACACACACACACACACACACACACACACUAAGCUUGUUCACUGCUUACUCAUCCUCAUGGUGGGAUGAGUGUCCAUUUUUUCCCUACCAGAUUAUUUAUGCAAAUCUGCCUCAAUUUCACAUGGCCUUCCAGGAAGCUUGACUGCAUAGGUUGAGAAAAUGGGAAUGAAGUCUCAUCUAUGCAGCUAUGGGAAAGUCCUCAUACCCACUGUGUAAGGUUUUUCAGGUGUGCCUGUUUGGGGAGGAGCAACCACCUACAUAUAUGCUCCAUGAGAAAGCUGGGUACGUGCAUUGGUUCUGCAUUAUUAACUUUAAUAGAGUAGGCGUUGGUUGUCACUGGGACCUUAGAGGAGAAGUAAACUUUGAAUAAGUCUCCCAUUGGGUAGAAAUUUUAACAAUAAUAUAUAUUAUAAAGAUAGGGUGUGUACACAUGAGGAGACUAGAGGUGGUCCUAAGAUGUCUUUAUUGUUUGUUUUUUAUCUUCUUCCCUUGAGAUAUGGUCUCACGUUGAACUUCAGGAUUACCCUUUAGGCUUAGUUAAUUGGCCUGCAAGCUCCCAGGAUCUACUUGUCUCUCACUCCAGCACUGGUUAUAGGCACAUAUGGAGAUGUACUACUAUUGUGGGAGUGCCAGUGAUUCCAACCCAGGUUUUCAUGCUUGUAUGGUGGGCUAUCUCGCCAUAUUUGAGGGAGUGUAGUAAAGAGACUGCUGGAAUGGCUUCCCCACUAGGGGGAAAUUUUCUACUGUGAACAACAGAGAGCAAAAUAUACUGAGGCAUCUGGUAGAAUCAAGAGCAAGAAGAUAAUAGAAUAGACUCCACAUGGUCAAGGAUAUCUUUGGGAGAUGUGAGAGUGUAGGAGAAAAUAGUACAGAUAGCAAGAGACGGAACAGUAAAAAUACCAAUAGUGACUAAGGGAAGGAGUAGAAAAAGUACAGGACCUGAGCUGAGAAGAGACAGGAGGCUUGCAUGGGGUCUCUGAAGUAUAACAGGUAUUUAUGAAUGAAACUGAAGAAGUUUGAAAGGCAGCAUUGAACUUGGUAAGUAACCACAGAUACAUGUCACUGGAGAGUCCAAAAUCCCUUAUUUCAGAGACAAGGGAAAUAACUCCUUUUGAGAAGAAAACAGGUUCCUCAGUUCCUCAGGGAUGCUAGGUUUUAUCAAAUAACUAGAAAUCCUUCUAUCGUGCAGCUUGAACUCAUAUCUGAAUACAUGAACUAACUGACAGAUAGCACUACCCACCUCAAGUUUAUUCAUAAAAUGUAUUUUCUUCUCUCUAAAUUAUCAGAGAAAUGUAUAUUAUUGAUAUUUGGGAAUAAUAAGAGAAUUGAAGUACCUAUUUAAAAAUCUCUACAGUAUCUCAUUGACUCACAAAAAGGAGACCUGUGAUUUAAUUAGUAUGAACUAGGUGCUAGGCUAUAUGAUUGGUAGUGAAAACUUUGGGGUAAACUUAGAUUGGUUUCCAUUGAAGAUUCAUAGUUUGCAUCAACAAAUCAAGCUCACAGGAGCUGGCAACAAGUACCUUUUCAAACUUCAGGAUUACAGUAACCUUUGAGUCUUCUUUUAAUCACUACAAGCAUUUUUUAGCAUUUUAAACACUUUGUAUCAUUUUCAAAUAUGGCAUUUACAUCAUAUCUGAAGCUCCUAGAGGCUUAAUAAUUAUCUCCCUCCCUUUUCUGAAUUUCAAAAUGAAUAGGUAAUUGUAUCUUUUAUAGCUUGUACCAUAAUUUCCAAAAUAAGUCAGCACUACCAUCUUGAAUACGGUUCCUCAGAUUUAAAACAUCCACAGCUAAACACUGAGCUGAACUCUGGAAUCCAGUUGCAGAGGGGGAGGCAUGAUGAGCAAAGGGGUCAAGACCAGGCUAGAGAAACCCACAGAAACAGCUGACCUGAACAAGGGGGGAGCUCUUGGUCCCCAGACUGAUAACUGGGAAAACAGCAUAGCACUGAUCCAGACUCCAUGAACGAGGAUGUGAGUUUGGAGGACUGGGAAAUCUAUGGGGCCUCUGGUAGUGGAUCAGUAUUUAUCCCUAGUACAUGGAUGGACAUUGGGAGCCCACUCCACAUGGAGGAAUGCUCUCUCAGGCUAGACAUGGGUGAGGGUCUAGGCCCUGCUCCAAAUGAGAUGACAGACUUUUUAGAUCCUCCAUCGAAGUCCUCAUCCCCCCUGGGGAGCAGAAAAGAGAUGGCAUAAGAGUUGGAGGCAGGCAGGGGAAGAGAGGAGGGAGAGGGCAUUGAGACUGACAUGUAAAAGCAGCUUGUUUCUAAUUUAAAAUUGGACUUAUUACAAUUAUAAAAAGAAAAAGAAGAAUGGCUCAGUAUAUGCAAGGCCCCAAGUCAGGUACAGGAGUACACCCAAGCUACCUGCUCUCAGGAGGCUGAUGGAGAGCAAGUGUGAAGGCAGCCUAAGCUACAAGGGAAUUUUUAGGCUAUUCUGGACCAUGCAGUUAGAUCCUAACUAACCAAAUAAAAUCAAAACUUAGCAAGCUGGAAAUGGCUCAAUUUUUCUAUAUUGUGGCUCAUUUAUCUUACUUAUUUAGUCAGGAAAAUUUAAAUAUUUCCAUUUUGAUGACAGAGCUGUCAGUUUCUUCUAGCAAUUUGUAUGUUAACACAGACCAUCAAGAAGAAUUUUCAGUAACUGUGUUAUAAGUAAUGCUUCCCUUUUUGGUUUACUUUUUGUGAUGUUGGCACACAUUGUUAGUUUAAUUAUUAUUGCCUGGAUACAGUUCUUUCUCCUUUUAAUUCUGUAUUUGUCCAUAAUUUUAGAGCAUGUUGCUUAUCAAUAUUAUUGGACCCAAAACUGGCAGCUGCAGAACCAGCAUAAGAUGGAACCAGGCCCCCUGAAUAUUGGUGCCAGUUGGGGGACUUGGGUAGUAGAAGCAAUAUUUAUCCCUAGUGCAUGCAUGGGCUUUGGGAGCCCAUUUCAUGUGGAGGGAUAUUCUCCCUGCCUAGAUACAUGGGGAAGGGCCUAGGUUCUGUGUCAAAUGUUGUGACAGACUUUGAUGAUCCCCCAAGGGAGGCUUCACCUUCUGUGAUUAGUGGAUGGGGUGUGGGAUGGGGGUCAUUGGGGGACUGGGAGGACAGGAGGGAGAGGGAAUUAGGAUUGGUAUGUAAAAUAAGAUUGUAAUUUAAAUAAAAAAUAGUUAAAAAAUAAAACAUCAUUAAAUGUAAUGAGUUUUCUGGGAACAUCAGUUCCCAAAACAUGAAAUAGAGAUGAUUAAUUAUGAUUUCCAGUCCUUAGGCUUGUCUCUAGGUGGCUUUUCUAUUAAUCCAUGUGUUCCCUUGAGGCUUGUUUAUCUCAUUUAUGUACUGUUUAUCCUGAUUUCCUGUUUCCUCUGUGUCUGGCAGGCUGAACCCAGCUGACUGGCCCUAAUAUGGAUGGAUGGCUGACUCCCCCAUUCAGUGUGCCCAACAGGCCCACCUAUUCCUCGUCUGUGUAAAUUUUACUCAUUCAGCUUCUUAUUAGACCACUCACAUGCUUUAGGGAGGCAAGGUAAAACAGCAACACACCUUUACAUAGUUAAACAAAUGACAGAUAAAAGCAGCACAUCUUUACAUAUUUAUACAAGUGCAGCAUAAACAAAUGAAGCAUAUCUAUACAUAGUCAAACAAUUACUUUGCAACUCAAAGAAAUGCAACAUAUCUUUACAUAAAUAAAAAAAUACUCUAUUCCACAACAAUUAAAAUACCACUGUCCUUACUUCCACAGGCCACUCAAAAUGUUGUACUAUAAAAGUGAUUUCAAAAUUCAUAUGCCACUGAACCUUUCUCACAAGAAAUGGAAGCUGUGUGAUGGUGGCACACGCCUUUAAUCCCAGCACUUGGGAGGCAGAAGCAGUCAGAUCUCUGUGAGUUUGAGGCUAUCCACAUCUACAGAGUGAGUUCCAGGACAACAUCCAAAGCAAUACAGACAAAUCCUGUCUCAAAAAAACAAAAAUAAAUAAAUAAAUAAAAAUACAAAAUAAAAAUGAAAUGGAGAGCCAGGCAAUGAAUGAGUCUGACAGGCCCUUCUAAGGACUGUAUUUAUGUGAAGUUUUUUCUUUGGCAUAUAAAUUUCAUCUCACCAUCUGAAUUCAAAUUUGUCCUCAGCCAUUAGAUUACGGUAUUUUCAUUUCUGCCACUAAAAGUUUGCCACCAGCAACCUGAGCACAGCUGGUCUUUGAGAAUCUCUUCCAGUGUUUCAAAUGAGCACUGAUUCCUUCAUUCUCUCAUCACCUAUGCAUACUUGUGGCUGGCCGGAUACAAUGAUUUUUUCAAUGGUGUUAAAUAACUAUUCUCUACCUGCUUGUCUUUAAGGCUUUUGCCUUAAACCUCCCUGCACACUUUUUUGUCUUGCAUCUCUGUUUUUCUUUUUCUUUUUAACUUUUGGCUCCUUUUUAGUCUUUCUCACAUCAUCAUUUCACCUUCACAGAUUGGUCCCUGUCCUCAGGUUCUUCAAACUCUUCCUAAAUGGGCUGCUGUUCAUAACUCUCUAAAGGACUCCUAAAAUAUGACAGACUACAAAGACCACCCCCAUGGAAGGCUACACCCUCCUCCCUGGAGAGCAGAAAUGGAGAACAAUAUGCAUUGGCUACUGGAGUGUUUGGUGAGAUGCCUUGAACAGAGAAAAAACAGGACCCCGGCCCACAGGAGACCAUCUGAACCAGCUGGAGUGAAACACUGAACAUGUGUUCACGAACUUGAGGACUUCUGACCUGCAGCCAGAGGAAGGAAGGAGACACACCCAGUUCCAGUUUCAAGAGGCUUUCCAGAGCCCCAUCUGCCCUAAAGACGGACUACAUCCACCUCUCUGAAGCUGCGAGUGCUCAUUCCUGAGCAGGCUAAGAACUCUACAACAAACAGCUUGCUUUCUUGUCACAAACAGACACACAAAACUGAUUUUCCAGUUUUCCCAUUGUGAAAAAGGACCCAUUUAGGACAGGUGGAUACUGGCAUAAAACAGAAUGGCAGAAGACCUUCACAAUGCUUAAACAAGACAUGGACAAAAGACUUUUCAAUUAAUAUUCAAAGACUGAUAUUACAAACCUGAUGUCAGAACUUGGAACCUUAAACAAGAAAUAGAAAGUUUCAAAGGGCAUUGAGUCCCAGGCAGGGAAUAAAGAAAAAAGGUUUAGAAUUGUGAAAUUGGUCACACCUAACAGGUUGUGAAAAUAUGUAAUUUGAUUGUAUUGUAACUCACCCUAGUGUAUGUUCAUGAUGAGAUUGUUAAUGCCUGUGAUCUUGUUACAUGUGAUAUGCAAAUGUUAUUAAAAACUAGAAGUCAGAGGUCAUUCUAACAGAAAUGUAACAUGUAAUUUACAAGCCUUAGGAUAGAAAUAUGUUUAAAAGAGCAAACUUUAGUAGUGUCUGUAUCAGAGGCACUAGAGGCAUUCCCACACAGAUUUUAAAAGGCCAUUUUAACCUUUAUACAUCUUCAUGCCGCAGGAGAACGUUUGCAGCCGUGAGAGCUCAGGUGCUACCUCCCGGAGGAUUUUUUCUCAUUCAGAAAUGCUUGGAGCUGGACCAUGACCCAAGAGAGGUAUUGUUGGGGACCACAAUACUUCCAUUAUGGAAUCUCUUAAGGUCCAGCCUCCGGUUUCAGCAAACAGGAACACCCAGGAGCUCCGGCCCACUACUGUAUUGCUAAUUCAAACAAGUCUUCUAUUGUAACCCAUGGCCUCAGUGUAGAAUGCCUCCUAUUUUGCAUCUCUAUGGGCCUAAAUAUUGAGUAGGCCCACUCCUGGGCUGAGAACUCUGUCUAUGUGACUAGGAACUGUUUAGGUAAUGCUUGAGUAAAUAGAAUCAUUUGAUAUUAGCUAUAUACAUCAUAAUAGAUGCUUCCUGAUGCUGCCCCUGCCCUUGGAAGACUAUUUUAAAUGGUCUUCUUAAUAAACCGUGGCUUCUUGGCAUCAGCUGGGAGCCCUCCUGAGAUGAUA